RNAcentral lists this unclassified non-coding RNA (644 nucleotides) under Pythium sp. ASR17. RNAcentral describes it as "partial contains ITS1, 5.8S rRNA and ITS2". The stretch from base 97 to 251 matches the Rfam family "5.8S ribosomal RNA". Lineage: Eukaryota; Oomycota; Peronosporomycetes; Pythiales; Pythiaceae. The record is from RNAcentral.
CUGCUGUUAUGGUAGUCUGCCGAUGUACUUUUAAACCCAUUACACUAAUACUGAACUAUACUCCAAAAACGAAAGUAUUUGGUUUUAAUCAAUAACAACUUUCAGCAGGGGAUGUCUAGGCUCGCACAUCGAUGAAAAACGCUGCGAACUGCGAUACGUAAUGCGAAUUGCAAAAUUCAGUGAGACAUCGAAAUUUUGAACGCACAUUGCACUUUCGGGUUAUGCCUGGAAGUAUGCCUGUAUCAGUGUCCGUACAUCAAACUUGCCUUUCUUUUUUUGUGUAGUCAAGAAAAGAGAUGGCAAACUGUGAGGUGUCUCGCUAACUCCCUCCUCGGAGGAGAAGACGCGAGUCCCUUUAAAUGUACGUUCGCUCUUUCUUGUGUUUAAAAUGAAGUGUGACUUUCGAACGCAGUGAUCUGUUUGGAUCGCUUUGCUCGAGUGGGCAACUUCGGUUAGAACAUUAAAGGAAAGCAACCUUCUAUUGGCCGGUAUGUUAGGCUUUCGGCCCGACUUUGCAGCUGACGGUGUGUUGUUUUCUGUUCUUUCCUUGAGGUGUACCUGUCUUGUGUGAGGCAAUGGUCUGGGCAAAUGGUUGUUGUGUAGUAGGAGGUUGUUGCUCUUAGUCGCUCUUCGGAGUAAAGAAG